This 69-nucleotide transfer RNA is filed under the name Cerion uva. RNAcentral's name for it is "tRNA-Ile". The record is from RNAcentral. Lineage: Eukaryota; Metazoa; Mollusca; Gastropoda; Stylommatophora; Cerionidae.
UGGGCAGCCGCCGGAGGACGGGCUUUGUUGAUGUCAAAGAUUACAUAGAGUUAUCUUUAUGCUGCUAUA